GUAACGGCGAGUGAAGCGGCAACAGCUCAAAUUUGAAAUCUGGCUUCGGCCCGAGUUGUAAUUUGUAGAGGAUGCUUUGGGCGCGGCUCCAACUGAGUUCCCUGGAACGGGACGCCACAGAGGGUGAGAGCCCCGUAUAGUUGGAUGCCUAGCCUGUGUAAAGCUCCUUCGACGAGUCGAGUAGUUUGGGAAUGCUGCUCUAAAUGGGAGGUAAAUUUCUUCUAAAGCUAAAUAUUGGCCAGAGACCGAUAGCGCACAAGUAGAGUGAUCGAAAGAUGAAAAGCACUUUGAAAAGAGGGUUAAAUAGCACGUGAAAUUGUUGAAAGGGAAGCGCUUGUGACCAGACUUGGGCCUGGCGGAUCAUCCGGUGUUCUCACCGGUGCACUCCGCCAGGCACAGGCCAGCAUCGGUUCUCGUGGGGGGAUAAAGGUCCCGGGAACGUAGCUCCUCCGGGAGUGUUAUAGCCCGGGGCGUAAUGCCCUCGCGGGGACCGAGGUUCGCGCAUCUGCAAGGA
This 514-nucleotide ribosomal RNA is filed under the name uncultured Chaetomidium. RNAcentral's name for it is "eukaryotic LSU rRNA". It matches the Rfam family "Eukaryotic large subunit ribosomal RNA", at positions 83 to 609 of the family's 3401-position model. The record is from RNAcentral. Lineage: Eukaryota; Fungi; Ascomycota; Sordariomycetes; Sordariales; Chaetomiaceae.